RNAcentral lists this transfer RNA (76 nucleotides) under Pseudomonas phage PPSC2. RNAcentral's name for it is "tRNA-Gln". It matches the Rfam family "tRNA". Rfam says of the family: Transfer RNA (tRNA) molecules are approximately 80 nucleotides in length. The record is from RNAcentral. Lineage: Duplodnaviria; Heunggongvirae; Uroviricota; Caudoviricetes; Vandenendeviridae. RNAcentral also lists the same sequence under 2 other names.
UGAGGAUUGGCCGAUUGGCAUUAGGCACCGGACUUUGACUCCGUUUAAGCUGGUUCGAUUCCAGCAUCCUCUUCCA